RNAcentral lists this long non-coding RNA (308 nucleotides) under Brassica napus (rape). RNAcentral describes it as "long non-coding RNA (BNAP_LNC013670)". The record is from RNAcentral. Lineage: Eukaryota; Viridiplantae; Streptophyta; Magnoliopsida; Brassicales; Brassicaceae.
UUGAGAUGUUUGGGAGCAUUGUGAUCCAAAAAGGGGUGAAAUAUGAGCAUGGAUGGAGGCCUUAGAGAAAUAUUCUGUUGCUAAGAUUUUGUGAAAACACAGCAAAUUGAGUUAGCUUUCUAGUGGAAGUAGUUUAAAGUCAUUUGGAGAUGUAAUGAAGGAGUUAUGAUCAAUUUACUAGAGGCAUAUCCAUCCUGGUCGAGCAUCGCAGAGUGACCUUCCAGAGCGAUACCAUAAGGUAGCUCCCAACCCAGAGCGACCUCCAAAGCGACCCACCUACGUCACUCGCCUUUUCAUCACUUUGGAGG